ACCGGCAGCUCAAGUGGUGGCCAUUUUUAUUGGGCCUAAAGCGUUCGUAGCCGGUUUGAUAAGUCUCUGGUGAAAUCCCGCAGCUUAACUGUGGGACUUGCUGGAGAUACUAUUAGACUUGAGGUCGGGAGAGGUUAGGGGUACUCCCAGGGGAGGGGUGAAAUCCAAUAACCCGGGGAGGAACACCUGUGGCGAAGGCGCCUAACUGGAACGAACCUCACGGUUAGUAACGAAAGCGAGGGGCGCGAACCG
RNAcentral lists this ribosomal RNA (252 nucleotides) under uncultured prokaryote. Its description in RNAcentral is "partial 16S rRNA". It matches the Rfam family "Archaeal small subunit ribosomal RNA", at positions 475 to 726 of the family's 1478-position model. The record is from RNAcentral.